This 253-nucleotide ribosomal RNA is filed under the name uncultured bacterium. RNAcentral describes it as "partial 16S ribosomal RNA". It matches the Rfam family "Bacterial small subunit ribosomal RNA", at positions 524 to 776 of the family's 1533-position model. The record is from RNAcentral.
UACGGAGGGUGCAAGCGUUAUCCGGAUUCACUGGGUUUAAAGGGUGCGUAGGAGGGCAGGUAAGUCAGUGGUGAAAUCUCCGAGCUUAACUUGGAAACUGCCGUUGAUACUAUCUGUCUUGAAUAUUGUGGAGGUGAGCGGAAUAUGUCAUGUAGCGGUGAAAUGCUUAGAUAUGACAUAGAACACCAAUUGCGAAGGCAGCUCGUUACACGAAGAUUGACUCUGAGGCACGAAAGCGUGGGGAUCAAACAGG